GCCAGCAGCUAUAUCACCCUGCAACUCACAACUGGCAACCCACUGAAGCUAAGCAGGUGUGAGCCUGGUCAGUACCUGGAUGGGAGACCUCCUGAGAAAAACUAAGGUUGCUUCUGGAA
Ribosomal RNA from Lepisosteus oculatus (spotted gar), 119 nucleotides. The record is from Ensembl. Lineage: Eukaryota; Metazoa; Chordata; Actinopteri; Semionotiformes; Lepisosteidae.